GGCACGGACCCCAGGGAGAGCGCGGAGGCGGCCACGCGGGUCCUUCCUCCACCUGGGCCCAGGCACUUCCGGUCUCGUAGGCGUCGGGGAAAGCUCUUUGCGGACUUCGCUGCGGGCUUAGGACCUCCGACAUGAAGGGAAGCGGGGGCUGGAGGACGCAGAGACUCUCCCUGGGCUGCUCGAAGGCCAAGGCUGUAACGCGGCUCCGGUCCUCGUUUUCCCGCCGUCGGUGCUGGCUGCCUGCAGUUGCCAUGGUGACGCGGGCCGCGGGGCAGGGCAAGGUCCCAAGUCGCGUGCAGUUGCUCCUCGCCGUCGCCACUCUCCUGCCCCAGGCUGUGGGUAGCAGACGUCAAAAGAGAUACACCAGAGCGCGACCCGGACUCAGGACCGCCCGGGUGGGGGCUGCUUCGGGCAUUGGACACACUUCCCGGGCGCCUCGUGACCGCACACUCCUGGCCUCACACCUCGGGGUGGGUUUGCACGAGGGGGGGCCGAGCCCUGUCGCUGAGCGACACUGACCUUCUUAAGGCCACCUAGCUUUGGGUACAAUGGAUGUCUCAUACUGAAUUUUAAUCAGCUUCUUACUGGAGGACAUUAAUGUUUGUUCAAUCUUCGUUACUACAAAAAAUACUAGAGUGGAGUGGUAAUAUCCUUGUAUGUACGUGCACACGUGCAACUUUCUCUGUAAAUUUCCAGAAGUAAAAUUUCUAUGUCA
Long non-coding RNA from Homo sapiens (human), 715 nucleotides. The record is from Ensembl. Lineage: Eukaryota; Metazoa; Chordata; Mammalia; Primates; Hominidae.